Molecule: unclassified non-coding RNA, 299 nt
Filed under: plant metagenome
Description: partial contains small subunit ribosomal RNA and internal transcribed spacer 1
Rfam family: Eukaryotic small subunit ribosomal RNA (bases 1-47)
Source: RNAcentral
AAUGUCGUAGCAAGGUUUCCGUAGGUGAACCUGCGGAAGGAUCAUUAUUGAAUGAACUUGGCGUGGUUGUUGCUGGUCCUCUUGGGGGCCAUGUGCACACCCGUCAUCUUUGAUCUUUCCCACCUGUGCACAUUUUCGUAGGUUCUAAAAGUUUUUUCCCGGAGGCAAUCUCGUUUUCAGAUGGGUUCGCUGUGCAUCACUGUCGGCUUCCCAUUGGAUUUCAGCCUAUGUUUCACAUACACAUAAAUUGUAAUAGAAUUGUCAUAUUGGGCCUUUGUUGCCUAUAAAGCUAUAUACAA